CCUACGGGUGGCAGCAGUGGGGAAUAUUGGGCAAUGGGCGCAAGCCUGACCCAGCAACGCCGCGUGAAGGAAGAAGGCUUUCUGGUUGUAAACUUCUUUUCUCAGGGACGAAGCUCGUGACGGUACCUGAGGAAUGCGCCACUGCUAACUACGUGCCAGCAGCCGCUCUAAUACGGAGGUGGCAGUCGUUCUCCGGAUUUACUGGGUGUACAGGGCGUGUAGGCGGGACGGCAAGUCAGAUGUGAAAACCAGGGGCUCAACCUAUGGCCUGCCUUUGAUACUGUCGGUCUUGAGUACAGGAGAGGCAGACGGAAUGCAUGGUGUAGCGGUGAAAUGCGUAGAUAUCA
RNAcentral lists this ribosomal RNA (347 nucleotides) under uncultured bacterium. RNAcentral describes it as "partial 16S ribosomal RNA". It matches the Rfam family "Bacterial small subunit ribosomal RNA", at positions 338 to 699 of the family's 1533-position model. The record is from RNAcentral.